UAUGCUAGUAACUUUAUAUCAGAUGGUGCUAGUCUGAGGCGUCUAUUAAUGAAAAAUAACUGUUUUAGUGCGGUUGCCGUGACUUUGUUAACGUGAGCAUCCCAUCUGAGGUCAGAGGUUAGUAAUAUGCCUAGGUAUUUGUAUUCACAGACAGAAACGAGAGGGAUGCUGUUUAGUGUGUACUGAAAGAGUGAUCUAUGUUUUUUCCUAGUUACAGAUAAUACAACAGAUUUAUUAACGUUAAUAGUCAUCUGCCAAUCUUCCCACCAUUUGGUUACUGAUGCUAUGGCGUUAUUUAAAGCUAUAUGGUCGUGCGCACUGGCAAGGUUUUGUCUGGUCUUGCAGGAGUCCCAGGUGCUUUUUCCGCCGCGUACACUGUCGCAAUCGUUACACGUCUGAGGAACCAGACUGGCGGCGCAUAGGUAAAGCCCGCUGCCAGUGCAAGCCACAGUCCCCUACCUUGUCGCUAUAAAGAGGAAAUUUGUGCGUGUACUAAGUGUACGCAACGUUUCUUUGUUUAGUAUAAUUGGGCAGUGCCUCCAGCAGACAAAAUGUGGAUCCCGUACUGCUCCGUCGGUUUGGGCUCGGGAAUGCCUCCGCGUGGCGGGCGCUUUUAAGAGGACGCUUUAGCUUGGGUGUUCCAAUCUAAAUACAUGUAAACGGAGUAUUCGUUUUUCUCGGCAACCGCUGCACCAAAUUUGACGAGGUUCGUUACAUUUAAAACAAAAGCUUAGAAUCUAGAAUUUCUGCUUGGUACACAAAAGAUUUAAGCGAAACAAUUGAAGCAAAGCGGGGCAUGAUGCUUUCAGUGCCCAAUUUUUUAGAGAACAUGUAGUUUUCCAUUAUAAAGGGGACUGUAAUGCGAUGUCUUUAAGUAGGUGGUUGUCUUAUAUUCAGAGUCGACUUAUGUUUCAAUAUGAGCGGGAAUGAAGUGUUACGCAAUUCUUUUAACGAAAUUUACCUCUGCUGUUUAGUUUCCAUAUUGUGCGUAGAAGCAACAGUGCGUGCACUUUCAGCUGCUCAGUUUAUCUUCAAUGCUGCUCUCAUUUUGUAGAGUUCAUCACAUGUGCCUUUGCAACACAUUGGCGGAGGCAAAACGAACUGCAUUUCUCGCUAGCUGGACAAGUCGGAAUGGCAGUGCAUCUUGGAGAACAAGACUCGAAUUGUGAAAGUCUGGUGGUUUUCACCAAGUUUCACAGAACAUUGUUUUAUGUCAAGAUGGGCUGACACCAUGUCACCUGAUGCUGUCACUCCCUGGUCAGCUCUUUGCAAGGACAUGGUGCUAUGCAGGCUUCAGCUGCUGAAUAGGCAAGAUUACAUUUCUGAAGUACGCUACACGAUUAUAUUACAUUUGAAGAGGCAAGAUUACAUAUUUAAGUGUUUCAA
Molecule: long non-coding RNA, 1386 nt
Organism: Dermacentor andersoni
Lineage: Eukaryota; Metazoa; Arthropoda; Arachnida; Ixodida; Ixodidae
Source: RefSeq, a predicted model, not a curated record